RNAcentral lists this ribosomal RNA (468 nucleotides) under uncultured bacterium. Its description in RNAcentral is "partial 16S ribosomal RNA". It matches the Rfam family "Bacterial small subunit ribosomal RNA", at positions 28 to 507 of the family's 1533-position model. The record is from RNAcentral.
GACGAACGCUGGCGGCGUGCUUAACACAUGCGAGUCGAACGGAAAGGCCCUGCUUUUGUGGGGUGCUCGAGUGGCGAACGGGUGAGUAACACGUGAGUAACCUGCCCUUGACUUUGGGAUAACUUCAGGAAACUGGGGCUAAUACCGGAUAGGAGCUCCUGCUGCAUGGUGGGGGUUGGAAAGUUUCGGCGGUUGGGGAUGGACUCGCGGCUUAUCAGCUUGUUGGUGGGGUAGUGGCUUACCAAGGCUUUGACGGGUAGCCGGCCUGGGAGGGUUACCGGCCACAUUGGGACUGAGAUAGGCCCCAGACUCCUACGGGAGGCAGCAGUGGGGAAUAUUGCACAAUAGGCGGAAGCCUGAUGCAGCAACGCCGCGUGCGGGAUGACGGCCUUCGGGUUGUAAACCGCUUUCGCAUGUGACGAAGCGUGAGUGACGGUAAUGAGUAAAGAAGCACCGGCUAACUACGUG